Molecule: long non-coding RNA, 2770 nt
Organism: Lagenorhynchus albirostris (white-beaked dolphin)
Lineage: Eukaryota; Metazoa; Chordata; Mammalia; Artiodactyla; Delphinidae
Exons: 3
Source: RefSeq, a predicted model, not a curated record
GCCAGUGUCUAGGAAGGCGAAGGCGGGCGGCGACGGCGACCUAAGGCAGCGGGAGGGCACGCUCGGCGCAGGGGCGAGUGGCCUGCCCGGCGCGAAGGGCUCGGCCCCGCCGGCGGCCCGGCCGUUCGGGGUCCCCACUCCCCACACCGUACGGCCCGGAGCCCUGGUUCGGCCUCGCCGCCCACCGCGCCCUGCCUAUGACCCGCUGUGUGACCUCGAGCAAGUCUCUUGCCUUCUCCGGUCUCCCGGCGACUCCGCCCUGUGCGACCGGCAGGGCGGCAGGGGCUCAGAGACCGUGGUUAGCGCUCCUGGCAGGAGAGAAGGGUGGGCCUUCGUCCGAGCACAGUGGCGGCUGAGACCGGACCUCUGGGGUGUCUCCCGGAGGUGAGGCUGGCGGUCAGGGGACUGGCCCUUGGAAGGGGCCCUGCCUCGCCCUCCAGCCUUCCAUCCUGGUGGCCGGCUGGGGUCCUGACCCAGGCCCACUGGCCCCCGCAUCAGACCCGCCCUGCCGGCCCAGCCCAGGGGGCAGCUCUGAGGCCGGGCGUCUGCGUGGGCUUGUUUCAGACGAGAUGGUUCAUUAAACGGGAGCCACAGGGCUGGGCACUGGGCACACGGGCGGACGAGGGCAGAUGCUCACUCUACGCUGUGCCCUACGUAGGGGCCAUGAGGCCCGGAACCUGCCAACGGCCGGAGACACCCACGCACAAAAGUUGCAGAGCCGGGACCACUCUGCCAUCCCUGGAGUGGUCCACGGUCUGCACGUGGUUGCUGCGGCCUGUGGGCAAAGCCCAGUGCCGGCUCCUUCCUCUGGGUUUCCUGCCGACCGGCAGUCAGUCCCAGGGCCUCAGUCAGACUCAGCUUCGGUAACUUUGACCAAACUACAGGUGGUGCUGGGCAAGGCUGGGGCGGCUCAAAUGCCUGGCUGUGUCACUUGGAAGUCUGAGUGGCCGUCCCAGGGGAGACACUCCACUGCCUUCUUUGUCACUGAUCUUCGGAGUCCUCGUGCAGACACCGUCCAGUGUGGGCCCUGCAGGGUGCAGCUUGGUCCGGUGGCCGCCGGAGAGACGCUGGGAUCAUCCCCUCCCGCCACCGGCUCUCACGAGUGAGGUGGCUCCCACCAGCCUCCAGGAGUGGCCCGUUUCUCUUUUUCCAAGGUAUCAUUCUGAACUCGUGAACUUAAACAUUUUGAUGGGUUUUAAUCCAUGGCGUUUCUUAUCCCCAUUGAAGAUCAGGUUGUCGCAGUCUUGGCCAGUGAGGGGGUCUCUCCAGGCCACUGGCAGCUGCUUUGGACAUGACGCUACUGGACCUCAACGCAGGGCCCCCGGCCUGAUGCCGUGCCCAGGCUCACGGUGGACACUCCUGCCCCAUGCCUCGGACAGGCCGCUUCUCCAAGAGGCCCUCAUCAUGAGAAAUGCUAUUUCAAGACGACGACGUGGGGCUUCCCUGGUGGCGCAGUGGUUGAGAGUCCGCCUGCCGAUGCAGGGGACACGGGUUCGUGCCCCGGUCCGGGAGGAUCCCACAUGCCACAGAGCGGCUGGGCCCGUGAGCCAUGGCCGCUGAGCCUGCGUGUCCGGAGCCUGUGCUCCGCAACGGGAGUGGCCACAACAGUGAGAGGGCCGCGUACCACCAAAAAAAAAAAAAAAAAAAGACCACGACAUGGGGGCAAGGGAGGGCACUGCCAGGUUGCUCACUGUUUCUAGACCUUCAGCACAGAGCUAGAGGGAGAUAAGGAUGAUAUAGAUAUCGGUUAAUAUAGGUGACGUAUAGAUACACAAUACAUACAUAGGAUCUCUGGCAACCACUGAUCUGCUCCAUUUCUGUAACUGUCUCUCCCCCAACGUUACACAGGAGGAAGCACCUGGAACACAGCCUUUUAGGUUAACUGUUUCCGCUCAGCCUGACCCUCUGGAGACGUGCUCGGGGCUGCUUGUCCUAACAGUCCGUGCCUUUGUGAUGUGGAGUAUUGGGUGCUGGGGCCACCGAGGGUUUACCCUCACCCGACAAAGAACGCCGGGUCCUUACGGGCGUGGCUGUUACAGGUGCGAUGGUGCCCUCGGGGCUCCCCGUGCGGCCCAAGACCCAGAGCUGUUCCGGAAGAUCUUCUCUACUUUCGACGUGUGCAUUCUUCUUCAGCCCAGAGGACCACACAGGAGACACGCCGUCUGGAAGAUCCAUCCCACAAUUACUCAUUCAGUUUUCCCAACAGUAUGAUCGCUAAAAACAUGAAGUGUUUUUGCACCUCUGCCCUCUCUCCCUACCCUCCUCCAGGCUGCUGCAGGCCCCACGCUCCCAUCGCAGCCUUGCUGGCCCGGGCCCCGAAGCAGCUGUACGUGUGACACCGUCCUCGGUGCCCACGCUGACGCGUCUGAUCACAUCAGCUGCAGAAGAUCAUUUUCCCGUAGAUUCUCGGGAAGGGCUCACAGGAACAAGAUCUCUGAAUUCUGAGUUCUCCCACAUGGAUGACAACUUUUCUGUGCCCUUUGUACUUGCAAGUGAGUUUUUUGGAUAUAAAAUCCUUGGUGUACACUUUCUUUCUUCAAAUAUCUGAAACAUGUUACUCCAUUGUGUUCUGGAAUAAAGUAUUGUUGUCAAAAAGUAUGAUAGUCUAAAAUCAAAAAAUAGAAUUUUUUUUAAAAAGUAAAAACAAAUAAUAUGAACAAAUAAAAAAGUAUGAUAGUCUAAUAUUCUUUCCUAUGUAAGUAAUGUGCUUUUUUCAAGAUGCCCAAAGGAUUUUUUUUUCUUUUCUCUUUAAAGUCCAGUAACUUUUCUA